GGUCACAUAGCUCAAUAGGUAGAGCAUUCAGACGCUUUCCUUCAAGUUUCUGGAGAUGCGAGUUCGAACCUCGUCUGUGCUACCA
Molecule: non-coding RNA, 85 nt
Organism: Tephrocybe rancida
Lineage: Eukaryota; Fungi; Basidiomycota; Agaricomycetes; Agaricales; Lyophyllaceae
Source: the annotation of a GenBank genome assembly